UGGUCAAGUUAUUAAGGGUGCAGGGCGGAUGCCUUGGCACUAGGAGCCGAUGAAGGACGUGAUAAGCUGCGAUAAGCUUCGGGGAGUUGCACGUAAACUUUGAUCCGAAGAUUUCCGAAUGAGGAAACUCACUUAGAGUAAUGUCUAAGUAUCAUUAAGUGAAUACAUAGCUUAAUGAGGGGAACUCAGGGAACUGAAACAGCUAAGUACCUGAAGGAAGAGAAAGAAAUUCGAUUCCGUAAGUAGCGGCGAGCGAACGCGGAUUAGCCCAAACCAAUAAAGUUUUCUUUAUUGGGGUUGCGGACAUAUCAUAACGAAGAGGUAUCGUA
RNAcentral lists this ribosomal RNA (329 nucleotides) under Clostridioides difficile. RNAcentral's name for it is "bacterial LSU rRNA". It matches the Rfam family "Bacterial large subunit ribosomal RNA", at positions 1 to 331 of the family's 2925-position model. Lineage: Bacteria; Bacillati; Bacillota; Clostridia; Peptostreptococcales; Peptostreptococcaceae. The record is from RNAcentral.